AGGUAACAGUAAAGCAGGAUGAUCUAAGAGCUGCCGUUGCCCAACGCAGCCUUCACACAAAGAAAUGCCCCCUCCCUUUCCUGCACCACCUUGUUUGUAUUUGUAACAUCCAUUUGAUUCUCUCUGUGCACACCCAGUUCCUUAUGCACACUUCAGAAAUACAUCAAAUUCUACAAAUCCGGGUUUUUAUUUCUCACACUUCUUAGGACGCGAUCCGAGCCGCCCUUUGCUGAUCACACCGGCGCUCCUUGAAAGGAAAGAGCUAUCUCCAGCAGUUCCUUACCCAGCUCCUCACGCCUUCCUCCAGCACUGAACUCUGCAGACAGCUCCCUGAAGGUGACACACACUCGCCGAUGCUCGAUGUGCCUGCGGUAAAUGGCGUGCUUCCACUUGUAGCGUGCGUCACCGUACAGCACCACCAGAGACCUCCUGGACAAGGUUCCCAAAGAAGAGCUGUUAAUGAGAUAUGUGAGUGGACCGGGUUUGAAACGCAGAGGGAUCUAAGAAGAAAUGUGCUUGUAAAGCCAAACCUGCUUCUUCCGGCCGGACUGCGAGGGCUUCCAUUCAUCCCGGUCCAUCAGUUCAACCAUCUCUGCUUCCUCCUCCUCACUGACGAACUCCUCUGCCAAAAACACCCCUGGGAAUGGAAAGGCCCAGCCAGCAAAUGGGGUGUGCUCAUUGCCUUCAGCUAAGCCCGUUGAUGGACAGUAAGUGAAAUUAUCAUCCCCCUGUGGAAAUGACAAGAGGUGACAAGGACGUGAGGGGGGAAGCUCUCGUGACGAGCUGUUUCCCUCGAUUUACCCCCACAACCUCCAUGUGGAAACUGCCUGCACGGCUCCUGGAGCUGUGAGGAAUGUUGAGCACGGCCCUUUCCCGCCCUGGCUGCGUUUGUGCCCGUGGCUUUCUACCUAACAGCUCCAGCAUCGCUGCUUCUCUCUCCCUGACAACGUCUCCAUCCCGCAGUGAUGCAGGAGAACGAACAGGUGAUGCUGUGCCGGGGCUGCCAGGCCGGCCGUUGCGCAGCGCCGUGUGCCGCCCCGAGGCGGCGGAUGAGCGCAGCUGCCCCCAGCGGCGCCGUGCCGUCCUGCGGCCCUCGGGGACGCGUGCCCAGGCCGGG
RNAcentral lists this long non-coding RNA (1117 nucleotides) under Gallus gallus (chicken). RNAcentral describes it as "long non-coding RNA NONGGAT003441". The record is from RNAcentral. Lineage: Eukaryota; Metazoa; Chordata; Aves; Galliformes; Phasianidae.